This 1155-nucleotide unclassified non-coding RNA is filed under the name Hevea brasiliensis (rubber tree). Lineage: Eukaryota; Viridiplantae; Streptophyta; Magnoliopsida; Malpighiales; Euphorbiaceae. The record is from RNAcentral.
UUCCCACCCAAAAAGAAGAAGAUAAAUAAUUAAACAUAACACUCAUCAUGUCUAGUUCCUACCUCCCCUCCACCGUAGCAGCCACCACCCCACGAUCUUCUUCUUCUUCUUCUUCUUCUUCCUCCUCCCCCAUCCGCCCCCGUUCCCAACUUUUCUCCGGUGUUUGGUUGUACGGAGCUAAAGACAAACGAGGUAACGCUGACAUUCGCCCAAGAUGCAGUGCUAUAUCGAAGCCUCGUACUCAAGAAUACCCCGAUGUCUAUCAAAAAAAUGGAUCGCCAGUUAUAAAGUGGCAUGAGAUUGUGGAGGAUGACAUAGAGAAGCAAGUUUCUAAGGUAUCUAUAUCACAUGAGAAAAUCAAACACAUUCAAACCAUUAAAUCCAUGUUGAAUUCCAUGGAAGAUGGAGAGAUAAGCAUUUCAGCUUAUGACACUGCAUGGGUUGCUCUUGUUGAAGAUGUUAACGGGAGUGGCGCUCCUCAAUUCCCAUCUAGCCUUGAAUGGAUAGCCAAUAAUCAGCUCCCAGAUGGUUCAUGGGGUGAUGCUGAUAUUUUUACCGCGCAUGACAGGAUAAUCAAUACACUAGCUUGUGUUAUUGCGUUGAAGUCAUGGAAUAUACAUCCAGACAAGUGUGAGAAAGGAAUGAAAUAUUUUAAAGAGAACUUGUGUAAGCUUGAAGAUGAGAAUGCUGAGCACAUGCCCAUCGGCUUUGAAGUUGCUUUCCCUUCACUUCUAGAACUAGCGCGAAAGUUAGACAUUGAAGUUCCCGAGGAUUCUCCUGUCCUGCAAGAGAUCAAUGCCAGCAGAAAUCUGAAGCUCACUAAGAUUCCAAAAGACAUAAUGCACAAAGUGCCCACCACACUACUCCAUAGCUUGGAAGGAAUGCCAGGCCUAGAGUGGGACAAGCUUCUGAAAUUGCAGUGCCAAGAUGGGUCAUUCUUGUUCUCUCCAUCCUCCACUGCCUUCGCACUCAUGCAAACUAAAGAUGAAAAUUGCUUGGCAUAUUUAAACAAGAUAGUCCAACGAUUUAAAGGAGGAGUACCAAAUGUGUACCCGGUUGACCUAUUCGAGCACAUCUGGGCUGUGGAUCGCUUGCAACGCCUUGGAAUUUCAAGAUACUUCGAGCAAGAGCUUAAAGAAUGCGUUGACUAUGUUG